This 30-nucleotide non-coding RNA is filed under the name Rattus norvegicus (Norway rat). The record is from RNAcentral. Lineage: Eukaryota; Metazoa; Chordata; Mammalia; Rodentia; Muridae.
UACUGCUAAUAAAUACCUUUAAACCGGAGA